RNAcentral lists this ribosomal RNA (497 nucleotides) under uncultured bacterium. Its description in RNAcentral is "partial 16S ribosomal RNA". It matches the Rfam family "Bacterial small subunit ribosomal RNA", at positions 28 to 507 of the family's 1533-position model. The record is from RNAcentral.
GAUGGACGCUGGCGGCGUGCCUAAUACAUGCAAGUCGAGCGAACAGACGAGGAGCUUGCUCCUCUGACGUUAGCGGCGGACGGGUGAGUAACACGUGGAUAACCUACCUAUAAGACUGGGAUAACUUCGGGAAACCUGAGCUAAUACCGGAUAAUAUAUUGAACUUCAUGGUUCAAUAGUGAAAGACGGUUUUGCUGUCACUUAUAGAUGGAUCCGCGCCGCAUUAGCUAGUUGGUAAGGUAACGGCUUACCAAGGCAACGAUGCGUAGCCGACCUGAGAGGGUGAUCGGGCACACUGGAACUGAGAAACGGUACAGACUCCUACGGGAGGCAGCAGUAGGGAAUCUUCCGCAAUGGGCGAAAGCCUGACGGAGCAACGCCGCGUGAGUGAUGAAGGUCUUCGGAUCGGAAAACUCUGUUAUUAGGGAAGAACAAAUGUGUAAGUAACUAUGCACGUCUUGACGGUACCUAAUCAGAAAGCCACGGCUAACUACGUG